This 253-nucleotide ribosomal RNA is filed under the name uncultured bacterium. RNAcentral's name for it is "partial 16S ribosomal RNA". It matches the Rfam family "Bacterial small subunit ribosomal RNA", at positions 524 to 776 of the family's 1533-position model. The record is from RNAcentral.
GACGAACCGAGCGAACGUUGUUCGGAAUCACUGGGCUUAAAGGGCGCGUAGGCGGGCUCUCAAGUCCGGGGUGAGAUCCCACAGCUCAACUGUGGAACUGCCUCGGAUACUGGGGGUCUCGAGGGUGGUAGGGGUAUGCGGAACUAUCGGUGGAGCGGUGAAAUGCGUUGAUAUCGAUAGGAACUCCGGUGGCGAAGGCGGCAUACUGGACCACAUCUGACGCUGAGGCGCGAAAGCCAGGGGAGCAAACGGG